CAAUCAUAGAAAACUUUUAUUGCUUUGAUACUAAUCUUAAAUAUUUAAAUGUGGGCGUUUUCAUCUCCUGAUUCUUUCCAGUCUUCUGUGAUAAUGAGCCGGUGCAAGGAGAAGAAAUCUCUUGAGAUAAAUAAACUGUACUGGGAAGUGGGCCCCUUGCUAAGUUCCCUCUGGAAGUGACACCUGCCUCUAUUGCAAACAUUUUCUUCUACAUGUGGUUUCAGUUCCAAGCCAAACCCGUUCUGCAGCAUGCUUUUGUACCUUGCUGAGACUGAUCAGUAUCAGCUUGCCAGGACUUUAAACCCCAUUGAUUCUUUCAUUGCUUAAAAGCCUCUUUCUUUUGAAAGUCUUUGAGUGAAUCAUAAAAUUACCAUCUAAAAAGACGUAGCAGUAACUGAACCCAGGAAAGCUGGGGAGUAUUUGACUGACAGCACCAUAACUGACCUUCCCGAGAUGAGCUUGAUGCGGGAAGGAGCUUUGCAGGUGGGAAAAUGCUCUGGGAAGGAAGGUACCAGGCAGGGACAGUAGGGUCCCUGGCCUGAGCCCAAAACUGGUCCUUGUCUCUUGCCGUCCCUCCUUUGCCCCAGGAUUCUCACGGAUGGUGGAUUAGAGAGCAAGGCUCCCCUUUCCUUUAUGUUCCUUCCUUUCUCAGGCUCAAUUCUAAGCCGUCAUCAGCAAGUGUGUAAAAGCAAGUAGGGAAGCCUAUUUCAGUUACUUUCUCUAGAUUUUUGGUCUCUUCCGUUAUGCGUAAAAUAUUUUUGAAAGUAUGUUUUCAAAUUCCAUUUCACCCUCAUUCUAUAAAGUACCAGAUGGUAGGCAUUGUUUUCUAUUAAUGAAAAAAAAAAAAGAUUGGUUUUAGGGAUCACAUUCAAAGUGUUUGAUUAACCAGGGCUCCGCUUAGCAUUCAAGUACACUGCUACACAGCUCCACUUUUGUUUUUGCCCUAGAUUUUUCUCUACCUCUUUGUCUCCUCUAUCUUUCCAGCCCUGUGGAUUUCCUUGAGAGGAGGACUGUGAAAAUUAAAGAAAAGAAAGAUAAGAGAGGAAGCAAAAAAAGUAUCACUUUUCUUGUAAUUUAUCUUUAUCUUGACUUCUCAUUAUGUUUUUUUUUAAAUUAAUAUUUAAUGCCCCUCAGGUAAACCUGAGCAUAUCUCUAUCCUAAAAAAGAGAGAGAGAGAGAGAGGGAGAGAGAGAGAGAGAGAGAGAGAGAGAGAGAGAGAGAGAGAGAGAGAGAGACACUGUCCAGUUGGGGAAGUGGGAAAAAAGGAACCUCACUUCUUGGAGGUCAGGGAUCUGGGAGACUGGAUUUGUAAACAUGGAAGAUGUUUCCAAGGCAAAAAUGGUACAUUUAUGGAGAAUGUCUUCAGUGGAUGUUUUGAAGUCUUAGGAGCCUCAUAGAGUGUGGGGACUGCAAUUCGUGGCAGUUCAGACACACUGAGUGAUGGUCGCAGGACAUACUUGGUCUCCGCAGAGGGUCACCACACAGAGCUGUCCAGAUUGUACUUGCAAAUGUACUUUCAGCACGGUGGUGGGUGGGAGGGGACCUCAGGUUUGCUCUAGUAAUGCCACUGAGGAUCUAGAGAAGAGGAGGAUUCGGGAUGAAUGGUCCACACCACAGCAAACCUGCUGCAUGUCGUGGGAAGGUGACCUCAGAUUGGGCUCCUGGUGACUUUGACUCUUCUCUUCUGGCCUGACGGUGAUAUUGCAUGUUGAAGGGGCUUGUUGACACUGAUCUUUCUUCUGCAGCCCAGCUUCUUGGCAGAGAUGUCCCGGUCUCCCUGUCUAUACGUCUUCACCUGCCCUUCAUUCCUAACCACCCUAUGGUUUGACGUGGCUCCUCAGGUGCAGCGAAAUGUCCCCUCCACUUCCUCCAUUCUCCUGGCCUCUCUGAGGCUCAGCCUCCCAUCCUCGGUGGCCAGGGCUGGGCAGCAGGUACUGCUUUCGCUGUCUUCCUCUCCACAGGUCCCCGGUGAGGAAACACCCUCCCUCUCAGGGCUCUUCUUAUCUUUCUGGCUUCUGGUUUCUCUGUCUCUCUUUCCUUGAGUUCUUUCUAGCUUCAGGUUCAAAUCCCAACACUACCAUUCACUACCAUGAAGGCCAGGGCCAGUGGUGUUCCUUGCUUAAACCUCAGUUUCCUUCCUGUGAAAUGGGAUAGCACAGCACCUGCCUCAUUUGGGGGCUGAGUCGUACUUACAGAGUGACUUACGUGGAGUGUUUUAAGGAGAAAGUGCUUAAUGCUUGCUAAUGUCGCUGUUAUUCCUUUUGUUAUCAGAAUUCUUGGCCAGAGGCCUUAGCAGACCAGGUCUGGCCAUCACCUUGAGAGUCUAAAUAGCAGAAAGAGAAGAUGGUGGUGAAGCAGGAAAGGAAUUGAUUUCAGUUUGGCCAGACCAGAAAGCCAGCUCUUCCCUGUACCAAUACCGGCCUCAGCGUCACCCAGGGGAAGGACAAGAGGGAGCCCAGAGGUGUGCACCUGUACAGCCAGCGCGGCCAGCCCGGAGUCUGCAGCAGCUCUGGCUCUGUGGGAUCCUGCUGGGGUCCUGCUGGGGUCCUGCUGGCACCAGGGGUUGGGGGCCGUCUCCACUCCUAGCGUGAGGUGAUUGCCUGCAGGAAGCUGGGAAGGAGAAAUAGCUCAAAGGAAAGAAGAGAUUAGAGGUACAAAGUGGAGUUGUUCAGGACAAAAGCUGGUUCCUUCUUCAAAUCCUUCCAUUAAAAGGAGCCCUGUCCUCACUCUGCCCACAGCCCAUCCACUCCAAGCAAUGACCUUGAGUCCCUCCUGUGCUNCUCAAUUCUAAGCCGUCAUCAGCAAGUGUGUAAAAGCAAGUAGGGAAGCCUAUUUCAGUUACUUUCUCUAGAUUUUUGGUCUCUUCCGUUAUGCGUAAAAUAUUUUUGAAAGUAUGUUUUCAAAUUCCAUUUCACCCUCAUUCUAUAAAGUACCAGAUGGUAGGCA
This 2946-nucleotide long non-coding RNA is filed under the name Marmota monax (woodchuck). The record is from RNAcentral. Lineage: Eukaryota; Metazoa; Chordata; Mammalia; Rodentia; Sciuridae.